CACACAAAUUUGGAGGGCAAGUCUGGUGCCAGCAGCCGCGGUCGGCUCCAAUAGCGUAUAUUAAAGUUGUUGCAGUUAAAAAGCUCGUAGUUGAACUUUAGGCCCGGUUGGACGGUCUGCUCUAGGGUUUGUACUGUCCGACUGGGUCUUACCUUCUAGCAAGCUGUCGUGUUGUUUACUCAGUGCGGCAGGGAGCUAGGACUUUUACUUUGAAAAAAUUAGAGUGUUUAAAGCAGGCAUCCGCUUGAAUACAUUAGCAUGGAAUAAUAGAAUAGGACUAUGGUUCUAUUUUGUUGGUUUCUAGGACCAGGGUAAUGAUUAAUAGGGAUAGUUGGGGGCAUUAGUAUUUAAUUGUCAGAGGUGAAAUUCUUGGAUUUAUGAAAGACUAACUACUGCGAAAGCAUUUGCCAAGGAUGUUUUCAUUAAUCAAGAACGAAAGUUAGGGGAUCGAAGACGAUCAGAUACCGUCGUAGUCUUAACCAUAAACUAUGCCGACUAGGGAUCAGACAACGAUCUUUUGACUUGCU
RNAcentral lists this ribosomal RNA (527 nucleotides) under Paraglomus sp. RNAcentral's name for it is "SSU rRNA". It matches the Rfam family "Eukaryotic small subunit ribosomal RNA", at positions 539 to 1080 of the family's 1831-position model. The record is from RNAcentral. Lineage: Eukaryota; Fungi; Glomeromycota; Glomeromycetes; Paraglomerales; Paraglomeraceae.